GGUUGUGGCUCAGAGGUAGAGCAUAUGCCUAGCACAUGCAAGGUACUGAGUUCAAUCCUCAGCACCA
Molecule: transfer RNA, 67 nt
Filed under: Marmota monax (woodchuck)
Lineage: Eukaryota; Metazoa; Chordata; Mammalia; Rodentia; Sciuridae
Description: tRNA.Ala
Source: RNAcentral